RNAcentral lists this ribosomal RNA (468 nucleotides) under uncultured bacterium. RNAcentral describes it as "partial 16S ribosomal RNA". It matches the Rfam family "Bacterial small subunit ribosomal RNA", at positions 28 to 507 of the family's 1533-position model. The record is from RNAcentral.
GACGAACGCUGGCGGCGUGCUUAACACAUGCAAGUCGAACGGAAAGGCCCUGCUUUUGUGGGGUGCUCGAGUGGCGAACGGGUGAGUAACACGUGAGUAACCUGCCCUUGACUUUGGGAUAACUUCAGGAAACUGGGGCUAAUACCGGAUAGGAGCUCCUGCUGCAUGGUGGGGGUUGGAAAGUUUCGGCGGUUGGGGAUGGACUCGCGGCUUAUCAGCUUGUUGGUGGGGUAGUGGCUUACCAAGGCUUUGACGGGUGGCCGGCCUGAGAGGGUGACCGGCCACAUUGGGCCUGAGAUACGGCCCAGACUCCUACGGGAGGCAGCAGUGGGGAAUAUUGCACAAUGGGCGGAAGCCUGAUGCAGCAACGCCGCGUGCGGGAUGACGGCCUUCGGGUUGUAAACCGCUUUCGCCUGUGACGAAGCGUGAGUGACGGUAAUGGGUAAAGAAGCACCGGCUAACUACGUG